This is a long non-coding RNA of Cyanistes caeruleus (blue tit), 1550 nucleotides long. RefSeq lists it as uncharacterized. The record is from RefSeq and is a predicted model, not a curated record. Lineage: Eukaryota; Metazoa; Chordata; Aves; Passeriformes; Paridae.
CCAUCCUUUUACUGUUUCAUCUUCUUAUAAUCUCUUGAGGACAGCAACAUUCACCCAAUUAUGUGUUUCCGUGAUGCACAGCACAACAGAGUUUUGAUACUUGCUGAGGUCACCAUGAAUUAAAUGACUUCAGCAGUGCACUGGAGAACUCAAACUGCUGAAGAGAUGUCCUCCAAACACCACUCCAGCCCACGGGCCAGGUACCCUACAACUAGUGAGUGCUGCAUGAAUGCCAGGAGGUCUUGUUGAAGGCCACAAGAAGCCAUUGCACCCUUUACCCUCUGCCUGCACAUUUUCACCUGUCUUCACAAUGUUCUUGAGUACUGCUUAUCUGUAUGAUGGAUGUUCUUUAUCAGAAUGCCCUCCUCACAAGGACACAAAACCAACACUUUUUUUAUGCUUGGUGGAUCCUUAUUUGCAUUUUGAAGUCAGAAAUUUGACAUGAUAUUAUCCAUACAGCAAGAUGACAGGCCAGUCAAAUUGAGGUGUUACAAGCAGGGACACCAGUACCUCCUUCAGCAAAGAAACACAGAUAAAUUGGCAAAACCAGCAGUAGAGUCUUUUCUCCUGAUAUCUGCCAUUAAAGCCCAAUCUCUUGAGGUAGGCCUGACAUGGAACUGUCACAACCUUUACACAAGGAAAAACUCAACUGCUGAGCUUCCAUGACACAAAAAUCAAGAUGGGUGUGAUGGUCCUUAGUUUUCUGCCAGUGAUUUGUGACUCUUCCUUAGACCAAGACUGAAGUGGCCACACAGUGUAACAGGCAGUUGUUUUUCCUUUUCAGAAACUGUUCUGCUGUGACACUGAAAAGCAGUGCAGAUGUGGGUUUCACUGAGCAUCCACGAGAAAGCCUCAGCUCAGAAUAAACCUCUUUGCAGAGAAGAUACUUCUCAAGCCCUCUUUGGAGAUCAGGCUCCUAAGAUCAAGACUCCUAAGAUUCAAGCCAUCACAGCAGCCAGUAGGAAAUGAAGCCCAGUUAAAAGGGAAAGGCUUUUACAGCUCUGCAGGACUGCACGGCUUGGACACAAGGGUACAUGCUGCCAUGGCAAAAGGAUCCUUGUUUGGUUCACAGCUAUUGGAGACAGAAAAAAUAAGGAAGCACAAGCACAAGGCAGAGUUCAAGCUCCAUCCAAGAUGACAGGAGACUGUUGCUGGAGACUUAGAAGGACAUAAACCCUCCUGCUGGAACAGCUUCAUGACCAGGGAAAAAUAACCCAAGAAACUAAAGAGGGAACCUCUUGCAACUUUAACGCUUUACAAAGGAUGUCUGAAAACAGUAGCCAAAUACUGUUGCCUGAGUGCAUUUCUUAAAGAGAUAAAGCAAAUCAAAAGGUUUAAGACAUGGUUAUAUGUUUUACUACAUUUAGCCCAAAGAUACAAAGGACCUCUAGAAUGAUCAUAACAUCUAGAUCAGACUUAAUCACUAAUACAUGCCCAUAACUUUGGAAACAUCAACCAGCAAUUAACUUGUGCAAGUUACUCUGUUUACAAAACACCUAUGUAUUAAAAUGAAAGCCUGUGUGACAAGUUAAUAAAACUACUUACUUCCA